UACGUAGGGUGCGAGCGUUGUCCGGAAUUAUUGGGCGUAAAGAGCUCGUAGGCGGUCUGUCGCGUCUGCUGUGAAAACCCGAGGCUCAACCUCGGGCCUGCAGUGGGUACGGGCAGACUAGAGUGCGGUAGGGGAGAAUGGAACUCCUGGUGUAGCGGUGGAAUGCGCAGAUAUCAGGAAGAACACCGAUGGCGAAGGCAGUUCUCUGGGCCGUAACUGACGCUGGAGGAGCGAAAGCGUGGGGAGCAAACAGG
RNAcentral lists this ribosomal RNA (254 nucleotides) under uncultured bacterium. RNAcentral describes it as "partial 16S ribosomal RNA". It matches the Rfam family "Bacterial small subunit ribosomal RNA", at positions 524 to 776 of the family's 1533-position model. The record is from RNAcentral.